CCUACGGGUGGCAGCAGUGAGGAAUAUUGGUCAAUGGACGAGAGUCUGAACCAGCCAAGUAGCGUGAAGGAUGACUGCCCUAUGGGUUGUAAACUUCUUUUAUAUGGGAAUAAAAUGUUCCACGUGUGGGAUUUUGUAUGUACUAUAUGAAUAAGGUUCGGCUAACUCCGUGCCAGCAGCCGCGGUAAUACGGAGGAUCCGAGCGUUAUCCGGAUUUAUUGGGUUUAAGGGGAGCGUAGGUGGAUUGUUAAGUCAGUUGUGAAAGUUUGCGGCUCAACCGUAAAAUUGCAGUUGAAACUGGCAGUCUUGAGUACAGUAGAGGUGGGCGGAAUUCGUGGUGUAGCGGUGAAAUGCUUAGAUAUCACGAAGAACUCCGAUUGCGAAGGCAGUUCACUGGACUGCAACUGACACUGAGGCUCGAAAGUGUGGGUAUCAAACAGGAUUAGAUACCCGAGUAGUC
This 460-nucleotide ribosomal RNA is filed under the name uncultured bacterium. Its description in RNAcentral is "partial 16S ribosomal RNA". It matches the Rfam family "Bacterial small subunit ribosomal RNA", at positions 338 to 795 of the family's 1533-position model. The record is from RNAcentral.